Molecule: long non-coding RNA, 717 nt
Filed under: Mytilus galloprovincialis (Mediterranean mussel)
Lineage: Eukaryota; Metazoa; Mollusca; Bivalvia; Mytilida; Mytilidae
Source: RNAcentral
UGUAUAUGUAAAGUUAUUAAACCAUGGCUUAUCAUUUAACAAUGCAAAUAAAACAACUCUAGAAACAAAUUUUAAUAACAUUUGCCUAUCUAAUCACAAAGGAAGAAGCAUUAAAAAAUUUCAGAUAUGUAGACAUUCAUGCUAUAACAAACUCAGUAUGCAUGGAUACUAGAGAUGAAGAGCUAUGCUUCACAGUGGUAGGUAACACCUCAAGAGAUAAUUCAGAAUGUAAACAACUUUAAAAUGAUCAAGAUCUGCUCUGAUAUAAUUUAUUGGUAAAGUUGGUUUUACCAGAUGCUGGACAAUAAUUGAAAGCAAGAAAUAUGUAUAGGUAAGUCAAUGUUGUGAGUUAAACUGGUUCAAAUAGAAAUGAAAGUGAUAUCAAUUGAAUGUCCAUUAGUUGUUUUUUUCUAAAAUCCAAAGGAGACGUUGGUUAUUUUACUGAAAAUUGAGGGCAACAUAAACUUUUCCCUGAUGCUUCCUUUCAGCGUAGUCAGAAAUCCUAGGUCACUUUGCACGGUUAGAUGACCCCUGAUUUAUGCAGCUAUAUAAAUUACUAACUAUCAGAAUACAUUUUGUACAUGCUGCUAGUUCUAAUUAUUUUCACAGCUGAACACACAUCAAUAAAAAGUAAGCUUAAAAUAAUAACAGCACUGGAAAAAGGGAUUUCAUAACAAUGGAUACUUAUGAUAUAUAAAUAUAAAAUCUCAAAUAAAU